AACGUGCCCCUCGGUUCGGGAUAACUCAGGGAAACUUGAGCUAACACCGGAUACGCCCUUCGGGGGAAAGGUUACGCCGAUGGAGCGGCCCGCGCCUGAUUAGCUAGUUGGUGGGGUAAUGGCCCACCAAGGCUACGAUCAGUAGCUGGUCUGAGAGGAUGAUCAGCCACACUGGGACUGAGACACGGCCCAGACUCCUACGGGAGGCAGCAGUGGGGAAUCUUGCGCAAUGGGGGAAACCCUGACGCAGCCAUGCCGCGUGAAUGAUGAAGGUCUUAGGAUUGUAAAAUUCUUUCAGCGGGGAAGAUAAUGACGGUACCCGCAGAAGAAGCCCCGGCUAACUUCGUGCCAGCAGCCGCGGUAAUACGAAGGGGGCUAGCGUUGCUCGGAUUUACUGGGCGUAAAGGGCGCGUAGGCGGACGAUCAAGUUGGGGGUGAAAUCCCGGGGCUUAACCUCGGAACUGCCUCCAAAACUGAUAGUCUAAAGUUUGGGAGAGGUGUGUGGAACUCCGAGUGUAGAGGUGAAAUUCGUAGAUAUUCGGAAGAACACCAGUGGCGAAGGCGACACACUGGCCCAAUACUGACGCUGAGGCGCGAAAGCGUGGGGAGCAAACAGGAUUAGAUACCCCUGGUAGUCCACGCCGUAAAACGAUGAGUGCUAGUUGUCGGCCUGCAUGCA
Molecule: ribosomal RNA, 679 nt
Filed under: uncultured bacterium
Lineage: Bacteria
Description: bacterial SSU rRNA
Rfam family: Bacterial small subunit ribosomal RNA
Source: RNAcentral